UCGGACACAGUCUUAUUGGAAAAAUUACAACAUCUGAAGCUUUCAUAGCCCUCGAAUGUUCAAAACUUUGAACAUCCAACGUUUACGAAAGCCUCGGAUACAUACAUGGCUUUCAUUAUGACAAUCAUGUUAAAAUGAAACUAAAUUUAGUAAUUAUCUUAAAAAAUAAAAUAUAAACAGCUAAGAUAUUCUCAAAUGAGAUAGUCAUGCUAAAAUGAAAAAUCAUAAGAACAGUUCCUGCCCUUUAGGACAAAAGAAAGUAAAAAAGAUCAUAAAAUGGACUGAAAACACGAUAUGUUUAGCUAUGAACUCUUGUGGGAAUAACUUCUGAAGGAUUGUCAUUUGUAUUUUCCUUUUGUUCUUAGUACAACAAUCCUGUAUAUGAACAAUACAACUGAA
This 399-nucleotide long non-coding RNA is filed under the name Trifolium pratense (red clover). RNAcentral's name for it is "long non-coding RNA (TPRA_LNC010412)". The record is from RNAcentral. Lineage: Eukaryota; Viridiplantae; Streptophyta; Magnoliopsida; Fabales; Fabaceae.